AGCGAACGCUGGCGGCAGGCUUAACACAUGCAAGUCGAGCGGGCAUCUUCGGAUGUCAGCGGCAGACGGGUGAGUAACACGUGGGAACGUACCCUUCGGUUCGGAACAACUCUGGGAAACUGGAGCUAAUACCGGAUACGCCCUUAUGGGAAAGGUUUACUGCCGAAGGAUCGGCCCGCGUCUGAUUAGCUAGUUGGUGGGGUAACGGCCUACCAAGGCGACGAUCAGUAGCUGGUCUGAGAGGAUGAUCAGCCACACUGGGACUGAGACACGGCCCAGACUCCUACGGGAGGCAGCAGUGGGGAAUAUUGGACAAUGGGCGCAAGCCUGAUCCAGCCAUGCCGCGUGAGUGAUGAAGGCCUUAGGGUUGUAAAGCUCUUUUGUCCGGGACGAUAAUGACGGUACCGGAAGAAUAAGCCCCGGCUAACUUCGUG
RNAcentral lists this ribosomal RNA (434 nucleotides) under uncultured bacterium. RNAcentral's name for it is "partial 16S ribosomal RNA". It matches the Rfam family "Bacterial small subunit ribosomal RNA", at positions 29 to 507 of the family's 1533-position model. The record is from RNAcentral.